Molecule: long non-coding RNA, 4733 nt
Filed under: Homo sapiens (human)
Lineage: Eukaryota; Metazoa; Chordata; Mammalia; Primates; Hominidae
Description: HSALNT0178942
Source: RNAcentral
UCUUAUUUUAUGUGCUCUUGAAUUUACAAAGAUAUUUUUUAAAACAUUUAUUUAUCUAUGUUUAAAUUCCUGAGGAAAUGUACUUAUUGGCAGGUCCAUGGAAUCUGAGAAGAAAACUACCUUCCUUGACAAAUGUAUAGUAAGUGUCCAAUGAGCAACUUGUCAUAAUUGGAUCCGCAGUUUCAGGCUGGGUUGAGGGAAGUGAAAAAGCCUACAGGGAGUGAGCAUUAUGUUGUAAACACUGUGUUAAGUGAUUUACAUGCGUUAUUUAAUGUGAUAUACACAAGACUUUGACAAGUUACUCUGCUUUAUGCAUGAGAAAAUUGAGAUUCACAGUCAAUAAGUUAUGCGUCUGUUUCCUAGUCAGUAGAAAGUUGCAGAGUGGAACUUAGGAGCGAUACUUGUUUAAACCUAAAACAUGCUAUUCUCAAGAAACUACUCUAUAUUUAUGUCAGGAUAAUCCCAGGACAGGAUAUAACUUUAAAAUAUAUCUGAAAGGUAAAAAGCACAGACUUGGGACUCAGAUAGACCUGUAUUUCAUAUUCAACCUGGAUAAUUUCAAGUGCUCAUUGGGAAAAUACAGAACCUUUUAAACAUCAGUUUCCUCAUAUGUGAAAUGGGUGUAAACUCACCUAUUACGCAGAAUUGUUAUGAAGGUCAAACAAUGUAGGUAAGGCACCUAGCACAGUGCCGGGCACUUAGAAAGUGUCCCCUAUGCAACAACUGCUUUCAUUAUCAGUGUCAACUCUGUCAUCAUCACCACAGUUUCUGUGAGGCUCCCUAUUCUUUCCACAAGUAGAUUCCCCUCUCUUUAUGUCGUAAACCUUACCAUUAUUACAGUAUUUAUCACACUGACCUUUAAUAUUGGUAAUAAGCGUAAAAUGUAACAUUCUAGCAGAUCGUAAAGGUAAUUACUAUAAUAGUAACAAAUAUUAUUUCAUUUAACAAAUGAUUUUAUUUCAUUUCAUUACUUUAUUAACUUGUUCAACAAUAAAUGAAGAGCUUUGGUUUGCAGCUCUAAAGGUUUCUUCCCCCAUGCACACAGAUAACACAUAAUUCACAAACAAACAAAACCAAAUAAUUUCAGGUAAUGACAAAUAUUAUAUAGAAAAAUAAAAUAGAGUGAAGGGAGAUAUUUUAGAUAGGCCAUUUGAGCAUUCGCUCUUCUGAAGGGACCCUUGAGAAGAGACUUAAAUGAAGGCAAAGAAUGAGCCAAGCCCAUGUCCAGGAAAGGUCUACAAUAGGCAGAGGUAACAGGUAUAAAAACCUGGGUGUUGCAAGGGUAGUGAGCCAGAAGGAAGAGAGAAAGAGAUGAAAUUCAGAAGAUGGAUGGUAGAGUUCAAACUUAGAAGUUUGGAUGGUAAUCUAAAUGUUACGGGCAUCUGUUGGGGAAUCUUGAGUAGUGAGGAAUACAAUUUGAUUUAUAUUUUUUAAAGCCCCUUCUGGCUCUUCUUUGAGAGAGAAGAGGAAGGAAAGAGGUCAGUCAUAGAGCAACAUGGCUAUUUUCCAAGACACAUAAAAUUAUGGCUUUGACUAGGGACUAUAAGGGGAUGACAAGUACUCAGAUUUGGGAAAUAUUUUGUAGGUAAACAUAAUAGGACUUGUUGCUGGAUUGAACAUGAGAUUUCAAACUUAUCCUAUAUUUCUUCAUAAAAAGACUGUUGAUCUCAUUGUGUAUACAGCAACAACUGAGAAAUUUAUCAAAGCAACAAACCACUAUGACUAAGCAAAAGUUUGUGAAAAAAUGUUUUUUGUUAAAACAUGACCAUAUAAUAUAUGCAGAACCAUAUAUACUUCUUAUAAAUAGUUUAAAUGAUAUGCAAAGUUAAAAUAGCUUUUGUAAGUUAAGCUCAAGGGGGCCUUGGCAAUAUUCAUUAUGAAAUGUUUGAUCACCUACCUCCUGCAUCUCUUAGUACCAACACCCCCUCUCCUGCUAUUCUUUAAUACAGACAAUUAACAUGUUUUUCUACCUUCUGUAAAAUGUUUUACUAAUACUGUUUUCAAGGCCCGGUUCUCCUUCUAAUCAGAUUGUCAUACAGCCUGCGUACUUUCUUUUUUCUUUUUUUUUCCCGAGACAGAGUCUUGCUCUAUCACCCUCCAGGCUGGUGUGCAGUGGAGCAAUCUCGGCUCAGUGCAACCUCUGCCUACUGGUUCAAAUGAUCCUCCUGUCUCAGCCUCCCAAGCAGCUGGGAUUACAGGCACACCCCACCAGGCCUGGCUAAUUUUUGUAUUUUCAGUAGAGACAGGGUUUCACCAUGUUGGCCAGGGUGGUCUUCAACUCCUGACCUCAAGUGACCUGCCCGCCUUGGCCUCCCAAAGUGCUGGAAUUACAGGCGUGAGCCACUGUGCCUGGCCCAGCCUGCAUAUUUUCUAAAAAUCAACUCAAAUAUCCAUUUGUUUAAAAGACUAUUUAAAUAUUUUUGGUACAUAGCAUAUACUUGCUUGAUAUUUGGCUAAAGGGAUGUCCACAUGAAAUCGAGGCUCACGAUUAUCUUGAGAAGAGCCACUCUUUAAAAGCAAUUAAAUAGAAAAAUGGAAGAUAAUCAUGUGAUGCUAGUCAAGCCCUCUUCCCUUCCUAGAUGGCUGCACUGGGUAGACAGAGAUUCUUGGUAUGUUAGGGCAGUAACUGUGUUCAAGGAGGAAAAUAGGUACUAGCCUGUCAGUCUAGUAGAGGAGAUGGCUGAAAGAGAUAAUACAUCUCAGUUCAUGGGUCUGCCUUAAAUAAGAACUCUGGAGCUAUCCCUGUGUCCCAAGGAAUUAAUCUCUCUAUUUCAGUAUGUGUGUUCUGAUCAACUCAUUGUAGCUAUUAUUCAUCUCCAGCUAUCAAUUGGAUCACUUGAGGUCAUCUCUGUAUCUGGAAUGGUGUCAUACAAGAAGGGUCUUGGCGGUGGUCUGACCUGCCAUGGACUGUCCAUCUGCCCGGACUACAGCGAGGUGAAGUGACUGACAGAUUCAGAAUUCGAUGAGGGAGAAGAGUCAGGCCUGAGACCAGUGCGAAGACAAUUUUUCCAAGCUUCCAAGGAGCCAAGCUGAAGAAAGAGUGAAACAAUGGAGGCGCCUUUCUUUCUUGAUCUUGGGAGAAGGAAUGCUCUCUGACAUUGGGAACUUCAGCCUGUUCCAACCUGUUUGCCUCCCAGAUGCACCUUCAAGACAAACUAAUUAUCUUGGGGAAUUAGAUAACAGCCUGAUACUUUCAUAUUCCUGUUUCCAAAUUUUGAUCAAUGUGCAAAAUAUAUUUUUGCCACCACUUAUAUAAAUCUUAAUAUUAUGGCCUAAUGCAGACAUGAAAGUGUAAUGGAUUCCUGAAUACGACUGCUUAUAUUCAAUCCUCACCACCAUUACUUAGUGCUUGUGCCUUGGACAAAUUACCUAACCACACUAGAACUUGUUAUUCUUAAUUAUACUAUGAAAUUAAUGAUAGUAUCCUCAUAAGGGUGGUGGUGAGGAUUCAAUAAGAUGAUUCAUACAAAUAAUUUAGUAAAGGGUCAGGCAGAUGGUAAACACUUAAUACAUGUUAGAAAUGAUGGCAAAGAGAAGGAGAGUGGUGAUGAUGAUGAAAGUGAUCAUAAUAUUUGACUACUGAGUUGAGCAAAUUCUUAGUGUAGGGCUAUGUACCUCUUACUAGAGGUAUGAUACUUUGCACAGCGUAAGUCUAACAACAAAUAUAUAACAUUCAUGAACUCACAUUUGAACAAGAGUUGGAUGUGUUUAUGGACUUUAUAAUUCUUUAUAUAAUGAAUAAUGUAUAGCAAUUUUAUAUACUUUAUAUAGAUACAGCAGUAGUUUGGGAUUGGAACUGUUGCUGAUAUACUUACUGAUUAACUUACUGCUGAUUUGGGAAUUUUAAGACUUGAAGGACACCAUCAAUGGUUCUUAUAUACAGAAAGGCUGAAAAAAUGUGAAAUUACAUUUAGUAAAGGAAUAGGAAAGUGAGAAAUGUCAUUUAUUAAAAUUCUACUAUGUGCAAGGUACUGGACUUGGACAAUCUCAUGUUUCAAAUCACCUAAUCUUCACAGUCUACUAUUGUCUGUGAGGCAAAUAUGUUUAUUAACCUCACAUGGAUGAGAAAAUUAGACUGCAGAUAAAGGUUUCAAACCUUCUGUAAUAUCAUGUAUAUAUUAAGGAUAUGGAGAAAAGAUUCAACAUCAGAUAUCCACUGCAAAGGCAGAACUGAUCUCCUUCAUUCCCCUACUUGAAUUAUUGCCUUCACCUAAAGAAGACAGAAACAUGAAGAGUUAAUAGCAGGUAGCUUCUCUUUAAGAAAGCUGCUUGUAAGUGACUUGAUAAUUUCCCAGUGAAAAUGACAUUUAUCUUGGAAAAACGGGGUCCAAACCCAGUGACAUUUUAAAGUUUGUAAUUGGGUUCAAAUGUGCGCAUGUACAAAACUAUGCCACCACAGAAAAAGCUGUCUUCUAAGGGUGCCAAGGAAGCGAUUGAUUAAAUUUGAGAUCCAUGCUUGACCUAGGCAAUUUGCCUAGUCUUUUGUAGUCACAGUGUUCCCAUUUACAAAAUAAGGGCUAUUUAAUUUAACAAAUGAUUAUUAGGCUUGAAAUAAGUAAUAGAGUAGAAAGUGCUGAUAAACUCUUAAACAUUAUACAAAUGACAGCUAUUAUGAUCAUAUCAGCUCAAGACAGAACUAGAAGCUAAAAAAUUCUUAUGAAGAUUAAGACCUACUACAUUUAUCAAUCCAGUGAAUGCUAAAAUACCAUCUUUUUAUUGUAAACAUUGCUCAG